Molecule: ribosomal RNA, 301 nt
Filed under: uncultured bacterium
Lineage: Bacteria
Description: partial 16S ribosomal RNA
Rfam family: Bacterial small subunit ribosomal RNA
Source: RNAcentral
CAGCCGCCGCGGGAAUACGUAGGGUGCAAGCGUUAAUCGGAAUUACUGGGCGUAAAGCGUGCGCAGGCGGUUUUGUAAGACAGAGGUGAAAUCCCCGGGCUCAACCUGGGAACUGCCUUUGUGACUGCAAGGCUAGAGUACGGCAGAGGGGGAUGGAAUUCCGCGUGUAGCAGUGAAAUGCGUAGAUAUGCGGAGGAACACCGAUGGCGAAGGCAAUCCCCUGGGCCUGUACUGACGCUCAUGCACGAAAGCGUGGGGAGCAAACAGGAUUAGAUACCCGUGUAGUCCCUGUCUCUUAUAC